CUGAGAGGAGCCAGUCCCUGUCCCCAGCCUAGAGCUGGGGAGGGAAUGUGGCUCAAACCCAGAGCUUGCUUUUCUAUUCUCCACAGCCCCCGUCCUUGUACAAGGUGUAGGGGAGGGAGCUGGUUCUUCGUCAUCUCUUCUGCCAUAUGAAGAUGCCAGCCACAUGGGUCUGUCUUCCCUGGAGGAACAGCCACCAGACACCAUUUCAGAAGUGGAUACUAGGCCCUUGCCAGACACUGAGCAACCUUGAUCUUACAUGGCUCAUCCCCAGAACUGUGAGGAAAUAGGUUUCUCUGUAUUAAAUUACCUGGGUUAAAGUAUUUUAGACCCAUCUGAACAAUCAGACAUCCUCUCUGGGAAGCUAUUUCCUGUCUGUAAAAUACAGACUGUCUUAUCAGCAAGCCUGAACAGUAGCAGCAUUAAGGAUCGCGGUAACUGCAAGCUCUUCCCCAGAGCUCUGAUCCUCCAGAAUGGCCGAAGCAUUUACUCCCCCCACCCCCCACCCACGAAAGAUCUGCCUCCAGGGCCUGUGGACUGGGCGGAUGCAGAACCUUUACCUGGCCAAGCUGUGGAAACACGGGGGCUGUUCUUCAGCAUGGCUGCUGAGCUGGUCCAACUAUCUUUUGAAAGUCUCUGCUGUGAGGGAGAUCCGUGAUGGAGCCAAGGCAGCCAGAGGCCCUGGACUGAGCCACACCUGAAGCUUUCAACUCAGGGCCUGAGCCGGGCUAAGGACGAGGAGCACACAGCUUGUGAACCUUUAUCCACCUGCACGCUGCCGGUUUGCCAAGCCCUGGGUCAGGUGCUGGAGACCAAGGAUGGGUGACACCUUCGAUUACACAUGUCAUCUGUGGGGCAGAUCUGAGGCAAAGCCAUGGUCCCCUGUGUUGAUCGUUGUGGGAGAAACUGCAGUGCUUUCCAGAGGAGGUGAAUGAAGUUUUUCAGAGCCCCAAACCUCCUGACAGAGCCUAUGUGGCUGAUGGGUACCAGUGUGUAGAAAUAAUACCAAAAGCAGAACUCUGUACUAAAAUCUCCCGGCUGCUGUGGGGGCCCCAGGCCAGUCCUUCUGCCUGGAGCGCUGGCAAGAAGAGGCUUGGAGGGGGGGACACAGGAAGACACUUGUGGCUGAGAGCACCAGGAGAAAGGAGGGGACAGAAGCCAUUUCUUUCCAGCCCCAGUUGUAAAGAAAUGGCUUUCUUCUUGUCUGAGUGCCGCUUGCUUCCCACGACUGGGAAAGGGACAGAUUCGUGCUGUGUUUUACUGAUGCCUUGCCUGGGCCAAGCGGGACCUGAGCAGGCUGAUGUGCCCACAGCUGGCCUGGCCGUACCCAUACUACAACCGCUGUCUUGUUGGCCCUGCCUGGGCCCCAGCCUCCGCAUCCAGCCAGAGAAACUUGGCUGCGCUGCAGUU
Long non-coding RNA from Mus pahari (shrew mouse), 1407 nucleotides. RefSeq lists it as uncharacterized. The transcript has 4 exons. NCBI's taxonomy places the organism in Eukaryota, Metazoa, Chordata, Mammalia, Rodentia, Muridae. The record is from RefSeq and is a predicted model, not a curated record.